GACCUCGGAUCAGGUAGGAAUACCCGCUGAACUUAAGCAUAUCAAUAAGCGGAGGAAAAGAAACCAACAGGGAUUGCCUCAGUAACGGCGAGUGAAGCGGCAACAGCUCAAAUUUGAAAUCUGGCCGUAAGGUCCGAGUUGUAAUUUGUAGAGGAUGUUUUGGGUACCGCCCCGGUUUAAAUUUCUUGGAACAGAAUGUCAAAGAGGGUGAGAAUCCCGUCUUGGACCGGGGUAGGGCCCGUGUAAAACUCCUUCGACGAGUCGACUUGUUUGGGAAUGCAGGUCAAAAUGGGUGGUAAAUUUCAUCUAAAGCUAAAUAUUGGCCAGAGACCGAUAGCGCACAAGUAGAGUGAUCGAAAGAUGAAAAGCACUUUGGAAAGAGAGUUAAACAGUACGUGAAAUUGUUGAAAGGGAAGGGCAUUUGAUCAGACAUGGUGUUUUGUGCCCUCU
This 450-nucleotide ribosomal RNA is filed under the name Goniomonas pacifica. Its description in RNAcentral is "partial Eukaryotic large subunit ribosomal RNA". It matches the Rfam family "Eukaryotic large subunit ribosomal RNA", at positions 1 to 453 of the family's 3401-position model. Lineage: Eukaryota; Cryptophyceae; Goniomonadida; Goniomonadaceae. The record is from RNAcentral.